CACGUAGGGUGCGAGCGUUGUCCGGAAUUAUUGGGCGUAAAGAGCUCGUAGGCGGUGUGUCGCGUCGGCCGUGAAAACUUGGGGCUUAACUCUGAGCGUGCGGUCGAUACGGGCAUCACUUGAGUUCGGCAGGGGAGACUGGAAUUCCUGGUGUAGCGGUGAAAUGCGUAGAUAUCGUUUGGAACGCCAAUGGUGAAAACAGACAGCUGGGAGUGUGCUGACGCUGAGACACGAAAGCCAGGGGAGCGAACGGG
RNAcentral lists this ribosomal RNA (254 nucleotides) under uncultured bacterium. Its description in RNAcentral is "partial 16S ribosomal RNA". It matches the Rfam family "Bacterial small subunit ribosomal RNA", at positions 524 to 776 of the family's 1533-position model. The record is from RNAcentral.